AUUUGCAUUGCAUUUUUUUUUGCAUUGAAGUGAAGGGGGUGGGAUAACAUAAUGCUGAUGUUAUCCCACCCCCUUCACUUCAAUGCAAAGGAAAAUGCAAUGCAAAU
RNAcentral lists this microRNA precursor (107 nucleotides) under Podarcis lilfordi (Lilford's wall lizard). Lineage: Eukaryota; Metazoa; Chordata; Lepidosauria; Squamata; Lacertidae. The record is from RNAcentral.